ACCUCCUCCACUGUGGGAACCU
Molecule: microRNA, 22 nt
Filed under: Oreochromis niloticus (Nile tilapia)
Lineage: Eukaryota; Metazoa; Chordata; Actinopteri; Cichliformes; Cichlidae
Description: oni-miR-10910
Source: miRBase by way of RNAcentral